UACGGAAGGUGCGAGCGUUAAUCGGAAUUACUGGGCGUAAAGCGCGCGUAGGCGGCUAGGUAAGCCGGUUGUGAAAGCCCCGGGCUCAACCUGGGAAUGGCAUCCGGAACUGUUUAGCUAGAGUGCAGAAGAGGAAGGUAGAAUUCCCGGUGUAGCGGUGAAAUGCGUAGAGAUCGGGAGGAAUACCAGUGGCGAAGGCGGCCUUCUGGUCUGACACUGACGCUGAGGUACGAAAGCAUGGAGAGCAAACAGG
RNAcentral lists this unclassified non-coding RNA (253 nucleotides) under uncultured Halomonadaceae bacterium. RNAcentral describes it as "contains 16S-23S intergenic spacer region". It matches the Rfam family "Bacterial small subunit ribosomal RNA", at positions 524 to 776 of the family's 1533-position model. The record is from RNAcentral. Lineage: Bacteria; Pseudomonadati; Pseudomonadota; Gammaproteobacteria; Oceanospirillales; Halomonadaceae.